This 1466-nucleotide long non-coding RNA is filed under the name Urocitellus parryii (Arctic ground squirrel). RNAcentral's name for it is "lncRNA (ENSUPAG00010003474.1)". The record is from RNAcentral. Lineage: Eukaryota; Metazoa; Chordata; Mammalia; Rodentia; Sciuridae.
CCUUAAUGGUGGUUCUGCUUUGGCUCAGCUGGCAGUUGGACAGCAGGCAGGCAGCACAGCUCAGCUCCACCGGGCUCACCUGUGCCUCUGCAGGGUUUCCAGGCCACCUCCUCUGAAAUYCCUGCACAUCACAGGAGGGCGCUCCUGGCUCCGGGUCAGUGCCCUGCUUUCUGUUUCUCUGACCAGGCGCAGGCAGGACAGAAGCCUCCCUGGCCUGACACUGCCGUUGUCCUUGACACGGGCGGCCUCCUUGUGGGACCAUCACACUUUAUGGGCACGAGGUUUCUAAGCACUGGUUCCGAGUCACAGCUGCCAAGAGUCAGUGUGAUGGGUGGAAGCUGGAUGGUGAGGACCCUAUGGUGGGGACACUGUGAUGGGAACCCAGCCCGUGGUGGGGAMGCCAAGGAGGGGAGGGUGCCAACAACCAAGAGCAGGCCCCAAACUACCUAUUCUUUCUUUCCCAGAUGCUAGCUGUUUGUCCUUCUUUCCAGAGGUGACCCAGAGACUGAGCCCCAGAGACUGAACUCCAGAGAUUAGGGCCUAGAAACUGGACCCUGGAGAUUGGACCCCAGAGACUGGGCCCCUCAGACUGGGCCCUAGAGACUGGGCCCCGGAGACUAGACCCCAGAGACUGGGCCCUGGACACUAGCCCCAGAGACUGGGCCCUGGAACUUGGACCCCAGAGACUGGACACUGGAGCCUGGACCUGCCAGCAGGUUGUGGCUUGGUCACUUUCAGAGGCUCCAUUCCUUUCCUUUGUGUGGUCACAUGACGGCUUCCUUGAGCAGUUCUCUGAGAACAUGCAGUGGUUCCCAGCUGUUGCUGCAGUAAGCACACCUGUUAAAAGCAUGCUUACUUACAUUUUUGGUCACAUGCACAGACAUCCUGGUAGAAUACAAUCCCAGCAGUGAAAUUCCUAGAGGAACGAGAAGGCACACUUGCACUGUUAACGCCCACUGACAAAUGGCCCUGCAGCAAACGGUCUUGUGACACACACCAAGCUGAAUGGUGUACAAGGGUUAUUUCUCAGGCCUGGAACCUGCAACACCUCGCUCAGGGGCAGAAUCACCCCGUUAAGAGUUGCUGCGGAAUCCCCCUCUUCAUCCACCUGGAGGACCUCAUCCACACAGCACCCCACGCCGUGUCCCCUCCGGCACUCCCAGGGCCUGCUCCUGGGCAGCCACAUCCACUGGGAGGCCGCUUGCUCAUGACAGUCCCCUCCUGGAGCCCGAAGACAUCAAGCCGUCAAGGCGGGCUCCCUCCUGGGCGCUCACAGGAGAAGGUGUGCUGUGGUAAAGGCAGUGCUGCUCUGGAAGGCUCGAGCUACGUAUGUCAGAGGACCACCCCUCCAGUUCAUCCUUAAAGAGGUCAGGCCUUUCUAUCCAGAAAGUGUGACUCUGGGAUUAGCUAAGUUUCUGGAAGGCUCCUCACAUUCAAGGCCUUUCUGCRUAUUUUUACAAAGAUGU